GGAUCUAAAAUAAGGAUUCAUUCUUCAGACAACUCCUGCUCAUGGUUUCCCCCUAUCUUUACAAAAUCGAUCUCAGAUUCAUUCAACAUGCAUUCAACAGCUUUCUAUCAAGAAAAGACAUUGUGCUCAAGAGCUGGAGGUGAUAAAGUCCAAUGUGAAUUUCUUAAAUGGCAAAUUACCAGCCAGGAUGAACACACAAAGGCUUCAGCUUUUAUGUACGGCCUAGAAGCCCCAGGGCCCCUGUUCCCCCUGAGCACCCAAGAGCAGCUUCUGAACACUGCAAUGUGCUGGCUGGAGGCCUCUGGAGAAGAGGAGGCCAGACCUGUGAAUUAUGGCAAAUUCUACUGCACCCUGACUUCAGCAACCUCCUAAAUCAGAAAAGGGGGCAUUAAAAA
Molecule: long non-coding RNA, 395 nt
Filed under: Homo sapiens (human)
Lineage: Eukaryota; Metazoa; Chordata; Mammalia; Primates; Hominidae
Description: non-protein coding lnc-ZNF536-2:1
Source: RNAcentral